AUAAACGUAUGUACACCGGUAAAAAAAGAAUGAAGAAGAGGAAGGAAGGACACAAGAAAAACCUAUGUCCACCAAAAUGGCCACUGAAUAUUCGAUGACACGAGGACGAUCAACCACGUCAACAAGAUCUUUGCCCCUAGCUCCCACAACAAAAGUACGACGACGACGACGACGACGACGACGACGACGAAAACGUCGACACGUAGUUAUCUCUGUAUCUCCGUAUACAGGCCACACAUUAUACGGGCUACGAGAAGCGUAUCUCCGAGCUAGACUGGCAGACAGCAUGCAUGUAAGCCGGGGCAAGGAGCGAACAAUGCAAGGUGGCUGUGUGGCGUCUGCAUGUUCAAUCGAAAUUAAUAAAUAAAGGCAUUAGUUUGCUACCGACGCGGCGGCGGCGACCGGCGACCGGCGACGGCGACGUGGCAGAGGCCAUGGCCCGUCGCCUUCCUUGUGGACGAGAGGAGAAUUGAUCGAAUCGAAGCAGCGGCAGGAAUGACCGGCCGGAGAGCGAUCGAGAAGACGACACUCAGGGAUAGCGAGCGAACCAAGGAGAGCAUUUUGAUUGGAUUAUUGGAUCCAUGAUGAUUUGGUUGAUGAUGGAUGAAAACCAGGCACAUCCUACCUGCGAUUGAUUGCUUGCUUGCAUGAGUAAAAUUGUUUUAGGUAAAAUAUUUAAUUAUCUUACCGUUGGGUAAAAUUGUUUUUUUCUUCUUUUUUUUGCUUAUAUUGUGUUGUGUUAGGUCAGUCUCAAUGGUGAGUUUUAGGGCGUUGUUUCGAAGACUGUUGUAUCAUAGAAAAUAAAAUCAAACUAUGAUGAAACACUCAUUUUCAAUGGACAGUUUCAUUCUCUAGUUUCAAAAUCAUUUAAUUUCAAGACUUAUAGAGAGUUGGUAACUAUGCCAAGAGAAACUCAUUCCUUCUCUUCUUUUUAAAAAUACACUAUCAUGUUAUAAAAAUGUCUAUAUGGUAAUUUAUUUAAUACAAAUAAAACUUACUUGAAACUUUCACUGUGACUAACCUUAUAGUUACUUUGAUGUUCUAGUAGAAAUCUUAUUUUCAUUUUCUAAUGAUAGAUUCGUUAUGCCGUUGAGAAUGUUCUAAUUUUGUGCGUUUAUCGGCUUAUGCAAAUAUGCAUUAUCUAUUAUGAUUCAAUAAAUUUGCCAUAUAUAUAUACACCCUAGGUCU
This 1188-nucleotide long non-coding RNA is filed under the name Sorghum bicolor (sorghum). Its description in RNAcentral is "long non-coding RNA (SBIC_LNC015224)". Lineage: Eukaryota; Viridiplantae; Streptophyta; Magnoliopsida; Poales; Poaceae. The record is from RNAcentral.